GGUCUUCCAGAUCCGGGUCAUGGAUAACGUUAUUCUCCUUCCUCCCGUUUCCCAGUGCUGUGCACUCUGCAUGGCUUGGGAUUUCUGAUCAUUGAGGAUCCAGUCCGGAUGGCGAUGAGACCCAGUGCCUGGAAGUGUGCAGCCCAUAAAUCUAUUGAAUGAAAGAAUUCCUGACUGUUCGUGAAGAGCCUUCUACUUCAUCGUAUGAUUUCCUGCAAAAAUCACCCGUGUAGACGAGAGGCAGGCGUGAGCAUUAUUUACAUCUUAGAGAAGUGGAAACGAGAGCCUCAAGAAACGACACGUUUGGAGCCAUUCCAGGCAACCCAUCAUGAGCAAGACCACAAAGCUCGUGUUUUUCAGAAUCCCACUCCUGGGCGUCAUCCAUUAAAGAUCGUGAUCUCCGCACUGUAAUGAAGCCCUCUUCCUCUAGCGGCACGGCCCAGUGGGUGCCUGGUGCUCAUUUGUUGAAGCUGACAAUGAUGAUGGUGAUAAUGAUCAUCAUCUGGGAUGAGCAAAUGGUCCCCAGUCCUACUGUGCUGGCCCCACUCCAAUGCCGGCGUCCUUCUAAGAAGAGGGAAAUUUGGACACAGAUGCAAAGGGGAGAAAGUCCCGUAAUGACAGAGGCAGAGACUGGAGUGUGGCAUGUACAAGCCAAAGAAUGCCAAGGGUUUCCAGCAGCUGUGGGCAACGGGGAAGGAGGCUCAGAACAGAUUUCUCUUCAGCAUCCAGAAGGAACAAACCCCGCUGGCACCAGGUGUCCAGAACCAUGACCCAAUAGACUCCUGUUGUUUUAAGCCACCCAGUUUGUGGCGAUUUGUGCCUGCAGCCCUAGUAACCAAGACAGCUUAUCGACCAUUCUUGGACUUGCAUACGAAAGAGAAGCUCUCAGAUUGAAGAGUCCAGAGAAGUUGGGGGAACACAUAGAAUGCAUUCUCAUGGACCUCCCAUCCAGACCCCCUGCACUGAUCCUCACUGCAGACCCCGGUCUUUGACCAGGAGCCACCAAAGAAGACCAGAGCACUCCUUGUGCCUCGCUGCUCACAGCCUGUCAAGUCCGUGCCAACACGGUAAGUCAGCAUGGGGUCUGAACUCUGCUGUCUUUGCGCUGAAUUUCUCA
This is a long non-coding RNA of Camelus dromedarius (Arabian camel), 1117 nucleotides long. RefSeq lists it as uncharacterized. The record is from RefSeq and is a predicted model, not a curated record. The transcript is spliced from 5 exons. NCBI's taxonomy places the organism in Eukaryota, Metazoa, Chordata, Mammalia, Artiodactyla, Camelidae.